RNAcentral lists this long non-coding RNA (600 nucleotides) under Homo sapiens (human). Its description in RNAcentral is "HSALNT0370889". Lineage: Eukaryota; Metazoa; Chordata; Mammalia; Primates; Hominidae. The record is from RNAcentral.
GUAAAGAAGAGAGGAGUCUCUCUCUUCUGGAAAUUUGGACUAUGUAUAGUAUAUCCAGAGAACUAAAUAUACCCGGAGACCAAAAUAGUCAUACUUUGGCACUGAAGUAGCAAAGUCAUGAGGUUGACUUCUGGCUGGAGAGGCUCUGAUAGACCAGAAGCAGGCAGAGGUUUAGAGGCAGCAGAACCAUGGCUCCCCCUUCACCUUCUGCCAUGAUUGUAAGCUUCCUGAGGUCAUCCAAAAGCUGAGCAGAUGCCAACCAUGCUUCCUGUAUGUACAGCCUGCAGAACUGAGGCCAAGGUGGUAGGAUCACUUGAAGUUGGGAGUUCAAGACCAGCCUGACCAACAUGGUGAAACCUCGCCUCCACUGAAAAUACAAAAAUUAGCUGGGCAUGGUGGCAGGCACCUGUAAUCCUAGCUACUCGCUAAGACUGAGGCAGGAGAAUCGCUUGAACCCAGGAGACGGAAGUUGCAGUGAGCCGAGAUCAUGCCACUGCACUCCAGCCUGGGCAACAGGGCGAGACUCCACCUCAAAAAAAAAAAAAAUGUGUAAUUAACUGUUCCCCAUGUCAAUAAAUAUUCUCUUCUAAUAUUCUUUUA